Molecule: ribosomal RNA, 252 nt
Filed under: uncultured bacterium
Lineage: Bacteria
Description: partial 16S ribosomal RNA
Rfam family: Bacterial small subunit ribosomal RNA
Source: RNAcentral
UCCGGGAGGGGCAAUCGUUAUUCGGCUUGACUGGGCGUAAAGGGUUCGUAGACUGUAAAAUAAGUUACUUGUUAAACUUUAAAGCUUAACUUUAAAUCAGCUUGUAAUACUGUUUUACUUGAGUUUUAUACAGAAGAGUAGAAUUUUAUACGUAAGGGUAAAAUCUAAAGAUAUAUAAAGGAAUGCCAGUAGCGAAGGCGACUCUUUGGUAAAAACUGACGUUGAGGAACGAAAGUAUGGGGAGUAAACAGG